AGGACGAACGCUGGCGGCGUGCUUAACACAUGCAAGUCGAACGAGGAUUCAGGAGAGCUUGCUUGAAUGGAUUCGAGUGGCGGACGGGUGAGUAACGCGUGAAUAAUCUGUCUCAUACAGGGGGAUAACGCAUCGAAAGAUGUGCUAAUACCGCGUAGGACCACGGAUUCGCAUGGAUCUGAGGUGAAAGGAGCAAUCCAGUAUGAGGUGAGUUCGCGUCUGAUUAGAUAGUUGGUGAGGUAACGGCCCACCAAGUCAACGAUCAGUAGCCGACCUGAGAGGGUGAUCGGCCACAUUGGGACUGAGACACGGCCCAGACUCCUACGGGAGGCAGCAGUGGGGAAUAUUGGGCAAUGGGCGAAAGCCUGAACCCCCAGCAACGCCGCGUGAAGGAAGAAGGUUUUCGGAUUGUAAACUUCUGUCCUAUGUGAAGAGGAGCAGACGGUAGCAUAGGAGGAAGCCCCGGCUAACUACGUGCCAGCAGCCGC
RNAcentral lists this ribosomal RNA (488 nucleotides) under uncultured bacterium. RNAcentral describes it as "bacterial SSU rRNA". It matches the Rfam family "Bacterial small subunit ribosomal RNA", at positions 26 to 518 of the family's 1533-position model. The record is from RNAcentral.